Molecule: unclassified non-coding RNA, 201 nt
Filed under: Hevea brasiliensis (rubber tree)
Lineage: Eukaryota; Viridiplantae; Streptophyta; Magnoliopsida; Malpighiales; Euphorbiaceae
Source: RNAcentral
UUCGCUAUCCUGUCAUUGUUGUCAACCGAAAACAGCUCCUCAUCAGUCAUCGCACCGGGAACUCUUCUCGACUUCACACUAACCAUCACAUUAAGCAUAUCAUACACCUUCCCCUUCCAGUUCCCAACCAUCUCUGUUCGCUCCUGUCUUCGCCAGUUCAGAUGUGGGACGAGCUCAGCCUGUGUCACGUCAAUCCCGGGG